RNAcentral lists this ribosomal RNA (809 nucleotides) under Curvularia hawaiiensis. RNAcentral describes it as "LSU rRNA". It matches the Rfam family "Eukaryotic large subunit ribosomal RNA", at positions 82 to 909 of the family's 3401-position model. The record is from RNAcentral. Lineage: Eukaryota; Fungi; Ascomycota; Dothideomycetes; Pleosporales; Pleosporaceae. RNAcentral also lists the same sequence under 1 other name.
AGUAACGGCGAGUGAAGCGGCAACAGCUCAAAUUUGAAAUCUGGCUCUUUCAGAGUCCGAGUUGUAAUUUGCAGAGGGCGCUUUGGCUUUGGCAGCGGUCCAAGUUCCUUGGAACAGGACGUCACAGAGGGUGAGAAUCCCGUACGUGGUCGCUAGCUAUUGCCGUGUAAAGCCCCUUCGACGAGUCGAGUUGUUUGGGAAUGCAGCUCUAAAUGGGAGGUAAAUUUCUUCUAAAGCUAAAUAUUGGCCAGAGACCGAUAGCGCACAAGUAGAGUGAUCGAAAGAUGAAAAGCACUUUGGAAAGAGAGUCAAACAGCACGUGAAAUUGUUGAAAGGGAAGCGCUUGCAGCCAGACUUGCUUGCAGUUGCUCAUCCGGGCUUUUGCCCGGUGCACUCUUCUGCAGGCAGGCCAGCAUCAGUUUGGGCGGUGGGAUAAAGGUCUCUGUCACGUACCAUCCUUCGGGAUGGCCAUAUAGGGGAGACGUCAUACCACCAGCCUGGACUGAGGUCCGCGCAUCUGCUAGGAUGCUGGCGUAAUGGCUGUAAGCGGCCCGUCUUGAAACACGGACCAAGGAGUCUAACAUCUAUGCGAGUGUUUGGGUGUCAAGCCCGAGCGCGUAAUGAAAGUGAACGGAGGUGGGAACCCGCAAGGGUGCACCAUCGACCGAUCCUGAAGUUUACGGAAGGAUUUGAGUAAGAGCAUGGCUGUUGGGACCCGAAAGAUGGUGAACUAUGCUUGAAUAGGGUGAAGCCAGAGGAAACUCUGGUGGAGGCUCGCAGCGGUUCUGACGUGCAAAUCGAUCGUCAAA